This 439-nucleotide ribosomal RNA is filed under the name uncultured bacterium. RNAcentral's name for it is "partial 16S ribosomal RNA". It matches the Rfam family "Bacterial small subunit ribosomal RNA", at positions 339 to 795 of the family's 1533-position model. The record is from RNAcentral.
CUACGGGCCGCAGCAGUGAGGAAUAUUGCACAAUGGGGGGAACCCUGAUGCAGCAACGCCGCGUGGAGGAUGACGCAUUUCGGUGUGUAAACUCCUUUUAUAUGUCAAGAAAAUGACGGUAGCAUAUGAAUAAGCACCGGCUAACUCCGUGCCAGCAGCCGCGGUAAUACGGAGGGUGCAAGCGUUACUCGGAAUCACUGGGCGUAAAGGACGCGUAGGCGGGUUGGAAAGUCAGGUGUGAAAUCCUACAGCUUAACUGUAGAACUGCACUUGAAACUUCUAAUCUAGAGUAUGGGAGGGGGAGAUGGAAUUAGUGGUGUAGGGGUAAAAUCCGUAGAUAUCACUAGGAAUGCCUAAAGCGAAGGCGAUCUCCUGGAACAUUACUGACGCUAAGGCGUGAAAGCGUGGGGAGCAAACAGGAUUAGAUACCCGCGUAGUC